This 433-nucleotide ribosomal RNA is filed under the name uncultured bacterium. RNAcentral describes it as "partial 16S ribosomal RNA". It matches the Rfam family "Bacterial small subunit ribosomal RNA", at positions 29 to 507 of the family's 1533-position model. The record is from RNAcentral.
AACGAACGCUGGCGGCAUGCCUAACACAUGCAAGUCGAACGAGACCUUCGGGUCUAGUGGCGCACGGGUGCGUAACGCGUGAGAACCUGCCCUUAGGUUCGGAAUAACUCCCCGAAAGGGGUGCUAAUACCGGAUAAUGUCUUCGGACCAAAGAUUUAUCGCCUUUGGAUGGGCCCGCGUUGGAUUAGCUAGUUGGUAGGGUAAAAGCCUACCAAGGCGACGAUCCAUAGCUGGUCUGAGAGGAUGAUCAGCCACACUGGGACUGAGACACGGCCCAGACUCCUACGGGAGGCAGCAGUGGGGAAUAUUGGACAAUGGGCGAAAGCCUGAUCCAGCAAUGCCGCGUGAGUGAUGAAGGCCUUAGGGUUGUAAAGCUCUUUUACCCGGGAUGAUAAUGACAGUACCGGGAGAAUAAGCUCCGGCUAACUCCGUG